GAUGAACGCUGGCGGCGUGCCUAAUACAUGCAAGUCGAGCGAACAGACGAGGAGCUUGCUCCUCUGACGUUAGCGGCGGACGGGUGAGUAACACGUGGAUAACCUACCUAUAAGACUGGGAUAACUUCGGGAAACCGGAGCUAAUACCGGAUAAUAUAUUGAACCGCAUGGUUCAAUAGUGAAAGACGGUUUUGCUGUCCCUUAUAGAUGGAUCCGCGCCGCAUUAGCUAGUUGGUAAGGUAACGGCUUACCAAGGCGACGAUGCGUAGCCGACCUGAGAGGGUGAUCGGCCACACUGGAACUGAGACACGGUCCAGACUCCUACGGGAGGCAGCAGUAGGGAAUCUUCCGAAAUGGGCGAAAGACUGACGGAGCAACGCCGCGUGAGUGAUGAAGGUCUUCGGAUCGUAAAACUCUGUUAUUAGGGAAGAACAAAUGUGUAAGUAACUAUGCACGUCUUGACGGUACCUAAUCAGAAAGCCACGGCUAACUACGUG
RNAcentral lists this ribosomal RNA (497 nucleotides) under uncultured bacterium. Its description in RNAcentral is "partial 16S ribosomal RNA". It matches the Rfam family "Bacterial small subunit ribosomal RNA", at positions 28 to 507 of the family's 1533-position model. The record is from RNAcentral.